Molecule: unclassified non-coding RNA, 202 nt
Filed under: Hevea brasiliensis (rubber tree)
Lineage: Eukaryota; Viridiplantae; Streptophyta; Magnoliopsida; Malpighiales; Euphorbiaceae
Source: RNAcentral
ACUGUUCAAGGUCCUGCUGAUGACAAUUCCCUACAACUACCUGUUCGGGAUCAUCCCGGCGCUGAUGAUCGGUGCUGUCGACGACAUUCUCUUUCACGUUCGGAAAAUUGGCCCGGUCCUUCGGAUGUUCAUGACUGGUCUCGCUGCAUUUUGCGCAACGGCGAUUAUGUACGGCACGCUGGGGAGCGAGACGGGCCUCAAG